AGUGAACGCUGGCGGUAGGCCUAACACAUGCAAGUCGAACGGCAGCACAGUAAGAGCUUGCUCUUACGGGUGGCGAGUGGCGGACGGGUGAGGAAUACAUCGGAAUCUACUUUUUCGUGGGGAUAACGUAGGGAAACUUACGCUCAUACCGCAUACGACCUACGGGUGAAAGCAUUGGAUCUUCGGACCUUGCGCGAUUGAAUGAUCCGAUGUCGGAUUAGCUAGUUGGCGGGGUAAAGGCCCACCAAGGCGACGAUCCGUAGCUGGUCUGAGAGGAUGAUCAGCCACACUGGAACUGAGACACGGUCCAGACUCCUACGGGAGGCAGCAGUGGGGAAUAUUGGACAAUGGGCGCAAGCCUGAUCCAGCCAUACCGCGUGGGUGAAGAAGGCCUUCGGGUUGUAAAGCCCUUUUGUUGGGAAAGAAAAGCAGCAGGUUAAUACCCCGCUGUUCUGACGGUACCCAAAGAAUAAGCACCGGCUAACUUCGUG
RNAcentral lists this ribosomal RNA (491 nucleotides) under uncultured bacterium. Its description in RNAcentral is "partial 16S ribosomal RNA". It matches the Rfam family "Bacterial small subunit ribosomal RNA", at positions 29 to 507 of the family's 1533-position model. The record is from RNAcentral.